RNAcentral lists this ribosomal RNA (371 nucleotides) under uncultured cyanobacterium. RNAcentral's name for it is "bacterial SSU rRNA". It matches the Rfam family "Bacterial small subunit ribosomal RNA", at positions 386 to 770 of the family's 1533-position model. Lineage: Bacteria; Bacillati; Cyanobacteriota. The record is from RNAcentral.
ACGGCNCAAUACCGCGUGUAGGGAAGAAGGCCUUUUGGUUGGAAACCUCCUUUUCAAGGAAAAAAGUACUGACGGUACCUGAGGAAUAAGCAUCGGCUAACUCCGUGCCAGCAGCCGCGGUAAUACGGAGGAGGCAAGCGUUAUCCGGAAUAAUUGGGCGUAAAGCGUCCGCAGGUGGUUAAUCAAGUCCAGUGUCAAAGAGCAGAGCUUAACUCUGUAAAGGCGGUGGAAACUGAGGAGCUAGAGGGUGGUAGGGGUAGAGGGAAUUCCCAGUGUAGCGGUGAAAUGCGUAGAKAUCGGGAAGAACACCAGUGGCGAAAGCGCUCUACUGGGCCACCACUGACACUCAGGGUCCCUAAGCUAGGGGAGCG